RNAcentral lists this ribosomal RNA (119 nucleotides) under Pteropus alecto (black flying fox). Lineage: Eukaryota; Metazoa; Chordata; Mammalia; Chiroptera; Pteropodidae. The record is from RNAcentral.
GUCUAUGGCCAUGCUACCCUGAACAAGCCCGAUCCCAUCUGAUCUCGGAAGCUAAGCAGGGUUGGUCCUGGUGAGUACUUCAAUGGGAGACUACCUAGGAAGACCAGGUGCUAUAGGCG